This 775-nucleotide ribosomal RNA is filed under the name uncultured Neocallimastigales. RNAcentral describes it as "partial large subunit ribosomal RNA". It matches the Rfam family "Eukaryotic large subunit ribosomal RNA", at positions 23 to 646 of the family's 3401-position model. Lineage: Eukaryota; Fungi; Neocallimastigomycota; Neocallimastigomycetes; Neocallimastigales. The record is from RNAcentral.
AAGAGAGAGACAUGCGCGCAUAUCAAUAAGCGGAGGAAAAGAAACUAACUAGGAUUCCCUCAGUAACGGCGAGUGAAGCGGGAAGAGCUCAAAUUUGAAAUCUUCAAGGUUUUACCUUGACGAAUUGUAGUUUAAAGAAGUGUUUUCUGUUGAAGUUUUGGUAAAAGUUCUUUGGAAUAGGACAUCAUAGAGGGUGAGAAUCCCGUAUUUGACCAUUAUUUUCAGCUGUGCGAUACACUUUCAAAGAGUCGGAUUGUUUGGGAAUGCAGUCCAAAAUGGGUGGUAAAUUUCAUCUAAAGCUAAAUAUUGGCGAGAGACCGAUAGCGAACAAGUACCGUGAGGGAAAGAUGAAAAGAACUUUGAAAAGAGAGUUAAACAGUACGUGAAAUUGUCAAAAGGGAAGCGUUUGACACCAGUGUUGUUUUUCUGAAAAUCAAUUAAAGAACUGUUUAUGCUAAGCUGUUUAGACUUUAUCAGCUAUCUGUUUAGUUUUGAGCUUUUCUUUAAUGCACUUUUCAGUUAACAAGUCAACAUCAAUUUCUUUUGCUGUAAAAAAGCUUGAGGAAGGUGGCUUGAGAUUCGUCUUAAGUGUUUAUAGCCUCUUGCCUAUGCAGUCGGAGAGAUUGAGGUCUGCAGCGUAGAUCCUUCGGGGCUAAAUGCAUUUGUGCUAAGUUAUAGCAUUUUAUAGACAACUUGUUGACUAUGAUUUGUCUUGUAGCUUACUCGCUUAUGCUAUUUUACCUACGCUUAGGAUGUUGAUGUGAUACUGCGAGCA